Chinchilla lanigera (long-tailed chinchilla) is the source of this 5371-nucleotide long non-coding RNA. RefSeq lists it as uncharacterized. The record is from RefSeq and is a predicted model, not a curated record. Lineage: Eukaryota; Metazoa; Chordata; Mammalia; Rodentia; Chinchillidae. The transcript has 2 exons.
UGCCAGCCCCCAGCCUUGGCCCAGCCCCCACGUUUAUGACUGUUUAUUUCAGAGCAAGUAGAAGGAGAAAUUAGAGUCAUAAAAGACAGGACAACAGACCAAUAAAAACCAGCUCCCAGAAGAAGCAGAGGAAGAGAGGCAAAACUGUCACCAUAGCAACACUAGGCAGAAACAUGCAGGAAAAACAGCUCUGCUCUGCCUCCUCUCUACUGCAAAAAAGCCUUGGAACCCCUCUCAGAGCUCCUAACAUGACUGACCCUACGAUCGCAGCCUCCAAGCCCAGACCUGCUGGUGGCACCCUCCUCUUGCUGUCUUGCAGGGCACCGCACCAGCUUUCUGUGCCCUGGGGACUCCUGGAGAUGGAGAGAUUGAACAUCACCAAGUGGCAGGCACUUUGCUGAAGGAUGGAAUGAGGACACCUUCCAAGGCCUUGAGGACACAGGCGGCCAGCCCCAGCUAUGACAAGGCAAAAUAAGACACAGGUUGAAUGGAGAUAUCUGUUGUGUGGUCCUCGGAGCAGCAGACGCUGGGAGCAGGUUCUGAAGAGGACAGUGUUUGAACUGCAUUCUGAGGGCUGAGCCAAACUUCAACAGGCAGGAAAUGAAACAAGGGCACUGAUGGUAGAUGGACAAAGUAGAGGUCACCAUAACAGCAUCGUGCUAGGGAGGUGGACAGUGGAAACCAGGUCAGUCUGAGGAGGCUGCACUCGAUCCUAGGAGGCCUCAGGAAACUAAUGAUAGGCUAAGGGCCUUUCUUUCAUCAGAGGAGGUAGAGGAAGAGGAGGAGGCAAAAAUGCAAGGGUAUUCAGAGGACUUCCCUCCUUGCCAGGGGCUCUGGCCAGCCCUCCAUGGACUGGGUCUUCCCCCUCAUCUUUGAAACACAUCAUCUCCCAGAGUUGAGAAAAAUGCUUGGCACAGACUAGGGCAGAGACUUUUUAUCUUGGAAAGCACCCCCCAAAUUCCUCAACAAAUUAGAUUUAUCUUCCCAGCAUGGGGCCCUUGUCUGUUGAGGGAUCUUGCCUGCUCCUGGACUUCCUUCUGGAUGCGGAUCUGGGGUGGUUUCUUCCUCCAUCUCCAGGUAUCAAGGAUCAUGAUUUUGGGGACAGUGUGGCAUAUGAACUCAGACUUCUGUCCUCUGAAUGCUGCUAUAAAACUGACAGUCUGAGCCACAGUCUCCUCUAACCCACCACGUUUCAUGAUCUAUGCUGGUGUCAGGAAUAUUUCAUAUAUGCAAGUUUCCUGAGAUCAGAGACAUUUUCUGUGACCUCACCUAGACUUAGGAUCAAAGUUGAAUAUGAAUCCUGCUUCUACCAGUCACGAGCUACAUGAGCUUCAAAAAGUCACUUAAUUAUCGGGAGUUUGGUUUUUCCCUUCCAUAAAAUGGGAAUAAUAAAACCUACUUCAGAAGGCUGAUGUGAGGGCUGAUCUACAUGUAAAGUGCUUGGCAGCUGGGAAAAAGAAGCUGUGUAAAAUGUUACCUGUCCUUUCAUGUGUGUCACUUGCAUUGCUUUGAAUUACACUGGUCACACAGUAAGUGCUAAUUUAAAACUUGCUGGUUAAAAAUAUAAAAAAAUAGAAAACUAAAAUCCUUCAUAGAUGUGGAUAUGGUAGGGAGUUCUCAGGGUCCUAGGUCCUAGAACAUUAUAGUGCUUGUUCUUUGCGUACUAUGUUAUAAGAAAAAAAAAUCUUAAUAUUUACCCUUCCAUAUCCCUGACCUUCAACAAGAAUUAUUGUCUGAGUCACUUUCUCAUCACUGGGACACUAUACCUAACACCCACAACCUAAAGGAGGAGAGGUUUAUUUUGGUUCAGUUUGUAGAGGUUUCAGUCCAUGGCUGGCAGGCUCCAAGCAAGAGGGCCUAGCAGAGUGGCAUAGAGGAGAAGCUGCUCACAGCUUGAUGACAGACACCCAGAGGGUGUCAAGGGAGGAGCCAGAAGUGAAAUAUAAACUUCCAGGUCAAGCCCCCGGGUACCUGCCUCUUCUGACCAGGCCCCUCUUCCUAACAGCAAAUCAACUAUAUGCCUCAUAAUAUAAUCAUCCUCCACGAGCCCCACAGGCAGCUUUCAAGGGCAUUUUAGCUGUAAACCAUAACAAUUACAUGGUAUUUUCCUGCUGAUGUUUCCCACAGUGGCCUCCAGAGGUGAUGGGCUUUCUUGCCAGGUGUUGGCCAAGGUCCUUUAUGUAAGUAGGGGAUUCUGCUAAAACACAGGCUAUGCUUCAGAAGGAUGGAUAAUAGCUUUGAUUACAAAUAUAGCACCAAUUUUCUCAGCUGACAUACUGCAUACUUCCUUGUUGCAAAAACCACUGCCCAAACCAUGUAGGGAAACUGUAGGGGCUGAAAAUCCUUGCCUGAGGCUGAGAUACUCAUGUGAUUUAAGGGUUCUGAUUUGAUUGCUCUUUUAAUCCCUGGGUUCAAUGUGGCAGGGUCUUUCAGAACACCUCUCUUUUGCAUGCAGUUCCCCUCUGUCUCAACUGACCCUUUAUUUUGGUGCAUUCAGUUUCUCCCCAUGAUUUUAGAACCUGGCUCACAGUAGAUCCUCCACGAUGACUGCUUCAACUGUCCAAACCAUGGCAAGUGUCCUUUCCCGUGUGUUCCCGAAACAUUGCAUUCCUAUACAUUGGGAACCUUACCUAACACUUUCAACUGUAAAGUCACCAUGAAUACUGAAGUAGUGAAUACUGAGACAUAGCUUGUCAAGAGAAUACAGGGUUAGGUUCCCAUAAGUGUCUGGUCACAUUUCAUCAACUAAUCGAUGCAAAACCUUCUUUGACUCUGUUGAGAGACACCUUUUUUGACUCUGUUGAGAGACAUAUAUUGUUGAUCAUUAACACUGAACUCACUUUCAGCAACACCUUUAAUUUGGCCUGAAUGAAACUUUUCUGUUUAAAGAGCAGCACUGUCUUGUGUUUAGGAACCCUUGGUGACAUUUCAGCACUGUGCUCCAAUGCCUCGCCAUCAAAAAGAGCAAAAAUAAGCUGGAGGGGAGAGGGUAGUGGCACUAUGGGAAGGUGAGGUAGAAGAAUCAUGAGUUUGAGCCCAGCCUGGUUAAUUUAGCCACUUAGCAUGAUCUUGUUUAAAAAUCAGUGUUUAAUAAAAAGAAAAGUGUUGGGGAUGUAGCUUAACAUAAAAGCCCUCGUUUCCAUCCCCAGUUGAAAAUAAAACCCACAAAAAUGAAAAAGACAUGGUAACGUGCAUUAUGGUGACUCAAGACUUAAGUCUUUCAUGAUUGGCACACAGAAGUAGAAGAACACAGAGGCUCUUAGCAUAUUGAGUUGGGGGUUACAGAUAAAUCUGAGAAAGAUGAAUCCACAAAUAUGGAACCCUUAAGUAAUGAACAUUAACUGCAGUGGUCUUCAAAUCCACUAGCCCCUCAGAAAGCACUGGUUGUGCAAAACCUUUACAUUCAAUAAGUGCCAGUUGAAUGAGUGAGACACUUAGUCCAGACCUGCUUUCUUUAGAUGUUUACCAAGAAUGUAAAACUUACAUUAAUAAAGCAGGAAGAGAGUUGUUGGUUCUCCUACAGGAGCAUCAAAGUUCUGACUUUGUUCUAUCAGUUAUUUGACAACAGCCUCCAACUCCAGUGUAAGGACCCUUCAUGUGACACAUCUGGAAAGUAUGCCUAUUAGGUUCUAAGACAGGCAAGAAAUUACAAACAGCACCACUCCCCCAUCUUCUCCAAAAAGGGAAGAGGGAACAACAGACUUAUAGGAAAAAUAGAGCCAAAUGAUGGCCAAAGAUGAAGAAAAUGACAAAGCGGAAGAACCAAUAGGGACACUGGUGACAGUGUAGUAAGGGAAGGAGAAUGGAAUCCAGAGGCAGGGAUAACAAGGGGAUCCUGCUUUUCAGUGACCAAGACUGAGCCCCUUAGAGGCUGGAGAUUAGGGCAUAGCCAACCGCUUGGGGAGUGGAGUAACCUGUCAAUCAGAGUUCCAAGAAACACAUGCAGAACAGUUCUGAAAGCACUGCACCUGGAACCAAUCAGAGAGUGCUAUUUUCAGUUCUUCUGGAGAAGACUGGAGCGGGAUUUUGAGUAGAACAGCCUAGAUCUGAUGUCAUCCUGAGGAGUACCAUCUAACCAGCUGUCACUGUUAACUUUUUCAAUGUCCCACCCUGUUUUCUUGCAGGGUAUAUUUCUUUUACCUUAAUUGUCCCAAAAUCGGUCUGCAGAGCAUAUUUCUUUCAUUUUCAUAUCUUUAGUAAGUAUAAAGCUCCUCUGUGUUUUGCACUUUUCUUGACCAAUUCUUUGUUCAAGAUAGAAAGAACCUAGAAAGCACCUCUGGAAGGGGUCCCUAGAACCCUCAUUUAGGGGUAAUACCACUCAUUGAGUAAUACCACUCAUUUCAGUGGAAGGACUUUGGGCUGUUUUCUGCACUUCUUGUGGCUUGUUCUUUAUCUGUACAAAAUGGUGACUAUGGAGCUUGCCAUAAGUAAAUGCCACUGGCAUUUACUGAAUGCCUACUGGUGCCAAACAGAAGAAUAAAUUACAGAUAACUAACGGACCAAGUGAAGCUUCUGUUGUACUCCAACUCCCAAAUUUAAAAUCAUUAUAACUUUUUUCACUCAUCUGUCUAUUUCUAUUCUCAUUCUCCAAUUUGCAAGGUUUCAAUGUAUGACUUUUCUAAAUUGAGAUACUCUCACACUUUUUCAUAGGAUAGUAGCUCACCAGGUACCUCCAAAAAUUGCUUAUUCCAUCAGUUUUCAAUGCCUUUGACACAUGAUUCAUCCCCUCCGGAGAGUCAGUCUCACCAUCCUCAAGCUCUCAGUUUCCAAAAUCACUACCACCAGCACAGUGAUGAUAUUUGAACUGGAGUCUUUGAGCAAAAGCUUAGUCUGUCUUACAGCCAUAUGCUAGUCAUCUAAGCAGCAUCACAAACAAGUAACAAGGGGCCACUUAUGACAAUUCCUAUUUUAUAGACAGGGAAAUUAAGGUCUGAUAUAACUUGUUUAAGUCGUCUACUGAAUCACAGCUACAGAUGAGAGAAUAAGAUAAAAAUGCCACAAUUCACAAUUGAGGAGACUGUGAGUCCCUUGGACUUGGAGAACCACAUCUUCUUUGUUUUCUUUGCAAAUGGAUUUUUGUUUUGUUUUGUUUUGUUUUGAGCAAAUCUAUUAGUAAGCAAGUAUGCGGAUUUGAUUCAGAUGUAGGCCAGGAUUUCUCUCUUAUUAUCAGAGAUUUUGUCAAAUUUAUGCUUAUAAAAAGUACAAUUUCAUUAUGAAGACAAUGCUAAUGUUUUCAUGAAAGCAAAUGGUUGACGCUAUAGAGCUUCAUGGUGGGCCAUGCUGCUAACAGACACAUAGAUACAUGUUUCAUGUUUUUACUUCUGUAAGUAUAUGUGACAGCUACAUAAAUCAGUAUUUGAAAAAUUUUCAA